RNAcentral lists this non-coding RNA (209 nucleotides) under Jeotgalibacillus malaysiensis. RNAcentral's name for it is "T-box sequence". It matches the Rfam family "T-box leader". Rfam says of the family: Uncharged tRNA acts as the effector for transcription antitermination of genes in the T-box leader family. T-boxes are found upstream of many aminoacyl-tRNA synthetase genes and some amino acid biosynthetic genes usually in Gram-positive bacteria. The record is from RNAcentral. Lineage: Bacteria; Bacillati; Bacillota; Bacilli; Caryophanales; Caryophanaceae.
AAUCCGGCUUUGAUGAAGAGUAGUAGCUGUUGCGUUAAAUUCCAGAGAGUCUGCGGAGGGUGAAAGCAGAUAUUUGAACUUCAGUGAAUGGACUUUUGAGCCCCCAUUGCGAAAUUCAGUAGUAAUUGGCGUACCGCUCUGCGUUAUGAGCUUAAAGUGGCAGUUUCAGACUGCAAUAAGGGUGGCACCGCGGAAAAUCCGUCCCUUCC